UGGUUCCUCCAUAUCUUGAUCCUCAACAUGUCUUGGAAGGAUUGCAUCGUGAUCCAAUAUAAAUAAUAGCACAUUUGGCCAACAUAUAAUUAUUCAAGCCUUUGGAGUGGAGUUCUUGAAGACAUUCGAGGGACUACCCCUUUGUUUUACAAGGGGUUAUUUCCUCACGUCUUGCUAUUCUCAUGGUGGAAUUCUUUCACUGGGAUACUAGUUCAGUGCUAGCUCUCCAAGGUUACUUAAUAAGACGAUCGAUGAAGCUGUUGCGGAUUGGUACUUUGAGAGAGAAGGGUUUCAUCAAUAUAUAGACCUGUACCCUUGCGCUAGAGAUUGCAAGUAUAAAUAAGUUAGUGAAAUUAUGUAACGAAUAGGCUUGCAGAUG
Molecule: long non-coding RNA, 379 nt
Organism: Lycium ferocissimum
Lineage: Eukaryota; Viridiplantae; Streptophyta; Magnoliopsida; Solanales; Solanaceae
Exons: 3
Source: RefSeq, a predicted model, not a curated record